RNAcentral lists this long non-coding RNA (256 nucleotides) under Panax ginseng (ginseng). RNAcentral's name for it is "long non-coding RNA (PGIN_LNC015561)". The record is from RNAcentral. Lineage: Eukaryota; Viridiplantae; Streptophyta; Magnoliopsida; Apiales; Araliaceae.
CUAGUGCUUAUGUUUGGCAUUGUCGCGCCAAGACAAUUUUGCCAACUUGAAAACCCUGUAUAAUCAGCGUUGUAGCGCUAAUCUUAGGCCAAGACCUGGCGCUGUUGCGUCAGACCGAAUUAUCAGUUCAUCAGGGUUGGGUAAUGGUGAGUUGGGUCGGGUCAAACGGGUCAGAAAUGAAUUUAUUUUAUUGAGUAAUUAAAAUAAUAUUAAGAUAUUAUUUUAAUUAAUUAUUAUCUUAACUAUGAUUGAACCA